RNAcentral lists this ribosomal RNA (626 nucleotides) under uncultured bacterium. RNAcentral's name for it is "bacterial SSU rRNA". It matches the Rfam family "Bacterial small subunit ribosomal RNA", at positions 8 to 610 of the family's 1533-position model. The record is from RNAcentral.
AGAGUUUGAUCAUGGCUCAGAACUAACGCUAGCGGCGUGCCUAACACAUGCAAGUCUUACGAGAAAGUCCCCUUCGGGGGAUGAGUAAAGUGGCGCACGGGUGAGUAACACGUGGAUAAUCUACCCUUCAGUCGGGAAUAACUCAUCGAAAGAUGGGAUAAUACCCGACGAUGCCUGUCUGUUUCGACGGACCGGCCAAAGGUGGCCUCUCUAUAGAAGCUACCGCUGAGGGAUGAGUUCGCGCACCAUUAGCUUGUUGGUGGGGUAAUGGCCUACCAAGGCGACGAUGGUUAGCUGGUCUUAGAGGACGACCAGCCACACUGGAACUGGAACACGGUCCAGACUCCUACGGGAGGCAGCAGUGAGGAAUUUUGCGCAAUGGGGGAAACCCUGACGCAGCAACGCCGCGUGAGUGAGGAAGGCCCUUGGGUCGUAAAGCUCUGUCAGGCGGGAAGAAAUGUACAUGGGCUAAUAUCCCGUGUGCUUGACGGUACCGCCAGAGGAAGCACCGGCAAACUCCGUGCCAGCAGCCGCGGUAAUACGGGGGGUGCAAGCGUUGUUCGGAAUUAUUGGGCGUAAAGAGCGUGUAGGCGGCCAGGUAUGUCAGAUGUGAAAGUCCCGGGCUC